AAUCCAGUUGGAAUUUGACGGCCUCGUGUUCUACAUUCUUAAGUUGUUCAGCUUAUCAGGUAACUUUCGUUAACCAACCUCCUUUCCAGUUUAAUGACGAAGAUGGGAUGAAGGAAAAUAUAUUACUACUGCACUGUCGCACAUGUUAAUUGUCUUUAUGCAUGUUAACAUAAUCUAGUUUAUGACCCAAAAUUUGACUAUUUCGUAAUCUAAUUACAAGUCCCAAUAGAGAACCUUCACUAAAU
Molecule: long non-coding RNA, 245 nt
Filed under: Olea europaea (common olive)
Lineage: Eukaryota; Viridiplantae; Streptophyta; Magnoliopsida; Lamiales; Oleaceae
Description: long non-coding RNA (OEUR_LNC013480)
Source: RNAcentral